UAAGGAAUAUUGGUCAAUGGGCGAAAGCCUGAACCAGCCAUGCCGCGUGCAGGAAGACGGCCCUAUGGGUUGUAAACUGCUUUUGCAGGGGAAUAAACCUCAUUACGUGUAAUGAGCUGAAUGUACUCUGAGAAUAAGGAUCGGCUAACUCCGUGCCAGCAGCCGCGGUAAUACGGAGGAUCCAAGCGUUAUCCGGAUUUAUUGGGUUUAAAGGGUGCGUAGGUGGCUUUUUAAGUCAGGGGUGAAAGACGGUAGCUUAACUAUCGCAGUGCCUUUGAUACUGAAGAGCUUGAAUGAACUAGAGGUAGGCGGAAUGUGACAAGUAGCGGUGAAAUGCAUAGAUAUGUCACAGAACACCAAUUGCGAAGGCAGCUUACUAUGGUUUUAUUGACACUGAGGCACGAAAGCGUGGGGAUCAAACA
RNAcentral lists this ribosomal RNA (422 nucleotides) under uncultured Sphingobacteriaceae bacterium. Its description in RNAcentral is "partial 16S ribosomal RNA". It matches the Rfam family "Bacterial small subunit ribosomal RNA", at positions 355 to 774 of the family's 1533-position model. Lineage: Bacteria; Pseudomonadati; Bacteroidota; Sphingobacteriia; Sphingobacteriales; Sphingobacteriaceae. The record is from RNAcentral. RNAcentral also lists the same sequence under 1 other name.